Molecule: ribosomal RNA, 468 nt
Filed under: uncultured bacterium
Lineage: Bacteria
Description: partial 16S ribosomal RNA
Rfam family: Bacterial small subunit ribosomal RNA
Source: RNAcentral
GACGAACGCUGGCGGCGUGCUUAACACAUGCAAGUCGAACGGAAAGGCCCUGCUUUUGUGGGGUGCUCGAGUGGCGAACGGGUGAGUAACACGUGAGUAACCUGCCCUUGACUUUGGGAUAACUUCAGGAAACUGGGGCUAAUACCGGAUAGGAGCUCCUGCUGCAUGGUGGGGGUUGGAAAGUUUCGGCGGUUGGGGAUGGACUCGCGGCUUAUCAGCUUGUUGGUGGGGUAGUGGCUUACCAAGGCUUUGACGGGUAGCCGGCCUGAGAGGGUGACCGGCCACAUUGGAACUGAGAGACGGCCCAGACUCCUACGGGAGGCAGCAGUGGGGAAUAUUGCACAAUGGGCGGAAGCCUGAUGCAGCAACGCCGCGUGCGGGAUGACGGCCUUCGGGUUGUAAACCGCUUUCGCCUGUGACGAAGCGUGAGUGACGGUAAUGGGUAAAGAAGCACCGGCUAACUACGUG